CCUGGGUGCCCUGUACGAGCGCCAGUCCUCAGAGUACGAGGCCCUCAUCUGCCAGCACAGCUGUCUGAAGACGUUGCACAGGAACCUGGAGCUGGAACACAAGGAGCUUGGAGAGAGGCACGGAGACUUACAGAAGCGUAAGGCAGAACUGGAGGAGCUGGAAAAAGCCCUGAGCACUGAGCGGGAGGUUCUGCAGCAGGAACAGAGGACCAGUGCCAUCGCCACGAGCGAGAACCAGAGGCUGCGAGGAGAGCUGGACAGGAUCAGUUUCCUGCACCACCAGCUGAAGGGGGAAUAUGAGGAGCUGCACGCCCACACCAAGGAGUUGAAAACCUCGCUGAACAACUCUCGGCUGGAGCUGAACCGCUGGCAGGCACGCUUUGACGAGCUGAAAGAGCAGCACCAGAACAUGGACAU
This 417-nucleotide long non-coding RNA is filed under the name Rattus norvegicus (Norway rat). RNAcentral's name for it is "long non-coding RNA NONRATT025277". Lineage: Eukaryota; Metazoa; Chordata; Mammalia; Rodentia; Muridae. The record is from RNAcentral.